RNAcentral lists this ribosomal RNA (618 nucleotides) under Triticum aestivum (bread wheat). Its description in RNAcentral is "partial small subunit ribosomal RNA". The record is from RNAcentral. Lineage: Eukaryota; Viridiplantae; Streptophyta; Magnoliopsida; Poales; Poaceae.
AUGCAACAAAUUCUCGGUGCAAUCCUCUCCAAAGAAGAAGAAGGCGGCUUGUCCUACCUGUAUGUGUUGGCCGAAUGGAUCGGGGGGACAAGAAAUUUCAGGAUGAGCGUAUAUAUGUUGCAAGACGGCGUCUGGUGCAUGCAAAGCUCAGCCACAGACCAAAUCAUUCUUCCGCUAACGGCACCAAAAGCUGAGGUCGUCGGCAGCAAGAUCUAUAUGCUGUCUGCCUUCAGUGAUGAAAUUAUUGUCAUUGAUUUAGUGACCUCAAGUUUAUCUAGAAUUCCACUCCCACACAGAGUGAAGUAUCACCCUUUUAGCACCACCUUGUCUCGGGCCGAUGACGCUUCUGGUGUAUAUCUCACCCAUGUCCAUAUCAAUGAGCAUCAACUUUGCAUCUGGCUCCACAAAGGUGAUAACUGGUUGCUGGUCCAUACCAUUUGUUUGCGUGAGAUGUGUGCUAAUCUGAGGAUGCUAGAUCCCACGCUUGAGCAUAUUGGUGGUCCCUAUCUAUGCCACAUCGGGCAUAAUGCUGAGUUUGUGUUCUUGAAAAUGUGUGGUUGCAUGCUCUAUCUGGACGUCACGAGCAGGAUACUGUGUAAACUACAUGAAACAGCAUAA